AUUAAAAUUGAGGAACUGAUAAUGUUUUCAGAGGGAUUAUCUUCCAAGGAGUGACUAGGAUCCAAACUCAAAAAAUAAACAGAUUAAGACCAUUUCUUCAGUCUAGUUCCACAGUGUGUACACCAUGAACUUUGCCAAAGGACAGCUGAUAUUUUUCCUACCCCAUCCCCUUCAUUUGGUCACCCAAUUUCAACAGGAAAGCUGGGAGGGACUGGGAGUCUGGGGUUAACAGAUGCAAACUAUUGCCUGUGGAGUGGAUAAGCCAUGAGAUCCUACAGCGCCGCACAGGGAACUCUAUCUAGUCACUUAGGAUGGAACAUGAUGGAGGACAACGUGAGGAGAAGAAGGUAUAUACACACGCGUGACUGGGUCACUCUGCUGUACAGUGGAAAUUGACAGAACACUAUAAACCCACUAUAAUGAAAAAAAUAAAAAUCAUUUAAAAAAUAAAGCUAAAAUUCAGCAAUAACACCUUGUGGUGACUGGCCCUGUUCUAAACACUGGACACAGUAUGAGGCUAUCAAGGAACGUACAGUCUAGUGGGACACAUAGAAUCAUCACUGACGCAGCAACGGAGAUGCAGAAAGUACAACUGGGGCACGGAAGUUCAGCCCAGGCUGAUGAAUAAAGGCUCAGCCGUGGCCAGGAGGAGGAGGUUCUAGCUGAUCGACAUUGGCACAGGACCUUCCAGACAGGAGGAGGAGCAUGCGUAAGCAACACUGAGCACAGCACAGCCUCUGGGGAUAACUCGCACGUGGCACCGUGUGAGCACGCAGAGGGCACACUGGGGCGGGGGGGGGGGGGUGGGGGGGCGGCUCUGGUUGGAAAUGGGCCUUCAGCACGCAGACAGGUGCCACAUCACAAAGGGCGGCGGCGGACCUUAUUCUGCAGGUGAAUGGUAAGCAGAGGAAUGAACGGUACAGUUAUGUUUCGGAAAGUUUACUUGGGUCACAGAGGAAAGAUGGAUUAAAAUGACUUAUUUAAGUCAUACUAGAGACUAAAACUAGUAAGAAAGCUAUUAUAUUACAGAAACAGAGGUAAUGAGGGCCAGAACUUGAGAAGCAACAGUGGAAAUGGGCAUAAAGUGACCAAUUUAAAGAAGAUUCAGAAAGUAAAAUAUUCAUGAGGAGUUCCUAUCGUGGCUCAGUGGUUAACGAAUCCGACUAGGAAGCAUGAGCGGGUUCGAUCCCUGGCCUCGCUCAGUGGGUUAAGGAUCCGGCGUUGCUGUGAGCUGUGGUGUAGGUCGCAGACGAGGCUUGGAUCCACAUUGCUGUGGCUGUGGUGUAGGCCGGGCGGCUACAGCUCCGAUUGGACUCCUAGCCUGGGAACCUCUAUAUGCUGUGAUGCAGCGCUAAAAAGACAAAAAAAAAAAAAAAAAGUAAAAUAUGUGACAGACACCACAGGUUCCCAGCUAACUGCCUGCCCACAACUCACUGUAAAGGCUAGAAGAGCCAGACAGGCCCCUUCUCAGCUUCACCACAGUCACCAGGGAGCCAACUCUGGACCGUCUCUUGGGAAAGGAGGGUGGCUGUGGCAAGGCCUUCCCCGUCUAUUCAAAAGAGAUGGAUGUGGAGGAAAGUCCUACUCACCUCUGUCUUCUCCUCCUGCUGACUGAGGACACUAUGUCGGGUGCUGUGACAGUCACUUUACAACUAGGAGGGGACAAAGCAAGAACAAAAGCCAACAUGCUGAGGACAGCAGAGUGGAAAGACGAAAAAGUCUUGGUCCCUGAGGACUGGCCGAGCUGCGGGGCUAAUGCAGGGACUGUUUAUUUCUGGCGUAAGUAUCCUUCCAGUUCAAGCCACUCAUUGUCAAGCUCUCUGUUACUUUCAAAUAAAAUUAACCAAACUAAGAGACAGGGCCUGGUGAGGUGCAGGGUUUGUAACAAAGAGGAAUUUAAGUUUUGUUCCGAAGGCUCUGCCUUGGAAACUGAGAAGAAGGUGCCAGUUACCAAGAUAAAAUUACAGCACAAGAGAUUUGCAUCUUGGGGCUGGGGGGUGAGGCUGAGGUGGGGGGUGGAGGAGAGGAGGAAGGGUCUAAGGGGGGGAGGAGAAAAGGAAAAAAGUUUGUUCCUGGGCAUGCCGACUUAGAGAUAUUACGGAAUCAAGGGAGCUCCCAUUGUGGCUCUGUGGCAGCAAGCCCGACUACUAUCCAUGAGGAUCAGAUUCGAUCCCUGGCCUCGCUCAGUGGGCUAAGGGUCUGGUGUUGCCGUGAGCUGUGGUGUAGGCCGGCAGCUACAGUUCCAAUUAGCCCCCUAGCCUGAGAGCCUCCAUAUGCCAUAGGUGCGGCCCUAAAAGGCUAAAAAAAAAAAAAAUUAUGGAAUCACCCAGGUGAGAAGUUUAUUGAGGUGACUCUGGAACUCUUUCAAACAGUCUGAAUGAGAUCGACAGAUGUGCGGGAAGCCAGAUCCUGCCCCAGCUGCACGGCUCACACUCCCUAAGGGAGACAAGAGACUCAAAGGAGUGGAGUCCAGAUAAAAACUUCCUAAUGUGAAGAGUCCUAGAAAGUGUUAAUCUUCUACUAUGACUCUGAAGAUGUACAGAUACUCUUUAAAAGUAGGAAGAAAACGUUUUAUAGAAUGCAUCUACAGACAUUAUCAUAUUACUGCAUAUUUUUAUUUUAUAAAAACUCCUUAGUAGCCAAGAUAACUGGAGAAACCCAGUAUCUGGAUGGAGGACCAAUGAAGAGCUUGUGCUAAAGUGACUACACCAGAGAUGGGCGCAGCCACUGAAACCCCCGGCCUCACUGUGUAUGCUCGCAAAUCAGCACUUUUGAAUCACCUCAUUCCCAAGACGCGGAAAGUAACUCCAGGACAGGUUUUACCGGGGAUGGAUUACUCCGAAGCACAGAGAGGAACCUAAUCAUUGAGAGGGCAGCAAGCAAUAAUUAAGCACCACUGAGAAAGAUUAAGUAAGCUUCUGAGGGCUGGCGUAUUCCUCCAGGAGAAGGAAGUUAAUUCGGAUGACCCCAAAACAAUUAUUUUCACCCGUGGCAGAGUUAUGGCAGCACUGACCCGCAGCUCCCACCCCAGUGAAAAGGAAAAGCAGAGCAGGCAACAGUCUCACAGAGAAAGAGGCACGAGGAUACACAGCAAGUGGUCCCUAUAAACAGUGAUUAUAAGUGCAAAUCAAAGGCUGAUUUUCUUGUUUACAAAGCUGGGACUGGAUAGGUAGCUCAUGUACCAGGCCUGUAUGUAAGGACAGACGGACAGAUGCGGGCAAUCCUCAUCAAAAGCAUUUAUGACUAGCAAAGAUAAAAGGACUCUGCCCUUGCCAUCAAGCAAACAUGUUCAAAAACCAAAACAGACUUGAGAAAAAUAAGUAUAAUAGAUACAAAUUUUGUCUAUCAACCCACUGGUCUUCAUUCUAAAACCUAACUCUGAGCACACUGCUCCCCACCACGAAAACUUUAAGAGGUUCCCUCCCGGCUCACAGCCUCCCUAAGCCCUUCACUCCAACCCCAAACUAAAUGUUUUGUCCCCUUUCACGCAUUCUAUCUACACUCUAGCCAUGAGGGGACCAGCGGAGAUCCCCCACCCAACCCGUGCUUUCCCACUCCUGCCACUCUGUUCCCACUGACUGUUCUCUGCCUGUGGACAUGCUGCCGGUCCUUCAGGCUUGACGUUCUGGAGCUUUCAGCAUCCCCGAUCCCACAAAGCACUCAGGCUCCCCCCUUUACAUCUUGUUCUGCUCUUAGCAAAAGUAGGCUAUUCUGUCUUGAUUUGUUACUACUGUGACAUUCUAAAUUCCUUAAAAGGGAUAAUUCACUUUGGUGACUUCUACAGGGUCAUAACUAAAUAACCGUAGGCUGCCAAGUUAGUGGCAUAAAACACAAACUGAAAGCUCUCAAAAAAACACACAAGGACUUCCUGUUGUGGCACAGCGGAAAGGAAUCUGACGAGUAUCCAUAAGGACUCAGUUUCGAUCCCUGGCCUUGAUCAGUGGGUUAAGGAUCCGGAGUUGCUGUGAGCUGUGGUGUAGGUUGCCAACAUAGCUCGGAUCCUGAGUUGCUGUGGCUGUGGUGCAGGCCGUCAGCUGCAGCUCCUAAUCGACCCUUAGCCUGGGAACUUCCAUAUACCACAGGUGCGGCCCUAAAAAGCAAAAAAAAAGAAAAAAGAAUACACAAGCCUAGGUUUGAUAACUCAGCUAUAAAGACUCAUAUACUUCUGUUAGGAAGAAAAAGCAAUACAUAAGAAAUAAACACAGGAAUUAUUCAGUGGAGAAGAUAAUGAAACAGACUGUGGUCUAGAAAUUCUAGCUCCUACUUCGAAGUUAUCUGGCCGGGUUUAGCCCACCCUUUUGUCUCUCUCUGCUCCCUCUGUAACUACCUCCUCUGCAAAGGCGAGGUGAAGAAUAAGAUCUUUGUUGUCUAGUUAAUACCUCUUCCUCUACCUUCGCAGAUUCCUUUUAGGCUCUGAAACCAUGGCCCCCUGGCCACUGCAGAAUUCUGACUUAUAAAGGACUGGAAACCAUCUGCAAGAACAGGCACACAGUGUUCUCAAUACAUCUUCAGGGAUGGUUUGUAACACUCUUCAUGAAUAAGCAGUCAGAUCACUGAGGGGGUGGGGGGCAAAGACACGGUAAAGGGAUAUAAGAAUUCUUGAAAAGUAAAGGCAACUACAGCUCUCUGCAGAAAAAGGUUAAAUCUGGGGAAUUAUUUCUUAACCAGUCACAAAGGCCAAAGACCUUACAAAGCAGCACGAUUUUCUAGCAUCUCUAAUUCUGAUUAUUCUUCUCUGAAACUUUUGCUACAGUGUUCCACUUUUCUUAGAGCCUACACCAAGCGCUAUGUCCUACUCUCACGAAUUCCCAGAUUGCGGCAUGGGAAUUCUCUUCUACCCAAGAUACGACACUGGAAAUUUAAAAACUUAAAGACAAUGCAAGAGAACCAAAACUUUAGGUCUAUGAAGGAGAACAAGACUCCCGACCUUUAGUAUUUCUGUUCUUUUGCAUCCAGCAAAAACAAUGAUGGGAACGUUCGGUCAAUCCGAAAAGAAAUUUUAAACAACGCAAAGAGAGGUAACCGCUUACAAAGCAAAAACUAAUCAACCCAAAGCCAUGCAAACCCAAGCAUGCCUCUAACUGCAACAAUAAUUUUGUACUGGGUGUUUCAAUGGCAAACCGAUCCUUGGACUCGAUUCUGUGGGCUUAGAAUACACCAAAGGCAGAUGACAUAACAAACAAGUUCUUCCCGUCCCUCUCCUGUGGUCACGUCAGAUACCUGUUGCAUCACCCGGAAAGUGGUCUCCAGAAUCCAGGAAAGGCGCACCACCAGGAUCCCUAAAUAAGGCAGCCGGACUAUUUGCUGGAUCAAUUUUAGCCUCCAUUCAUUUUAAUGAGGUUGCCUUGGAGGCAGAGGUGUGUUGGCUCCUGUUCACCUCUGAAGUCAGUCUC
This 5393-nucleotide long non-coding RNA is filed under the name Sus scrofa (pig). RNAcentral describes it as "lncRNA (ENSSSCG00015038055.1)". The record is from RNAcentral. Lineage: Eukaryota; Metazoa; Chordata; Mammalia; Artiodactyla; Suidae.